This 244-nucleotide unclassified non-coding RNA is filed under the name plant metagenome. RNAcentral's name for it is "partial contains small subunit ribosomal RNA, internal transcribed spacer 1, and 5.8S ribosomal RNA". The record is from RNAcentral.
UCACCGUUGGUGAACAAGCGGAGGGAUCAUUACCGAGUUUACAACUCCCAAACCCAAUGUGAACCAUACCAAACUGUUGCCUCGGCGGGGUCACGCCCCGGGUGCGUCGCAGCCCCGGAACCAGGCGCCCGCCGGAGGGACCAACCAAACUCUUUCUGUAGUCCCCUCGCGGACGUUAUUUUUACAGCUCUGAGCAAAAAUUCAAAAUGAAUCAAAACUUUCAACAACGGAUCUCUUGGUUCUG